UCAGGAUGAACGCUGGCGGCGUGCUUAACACAUGCAAGUCGAACGGAGUUGAGAUGAAGCUUGCGAUUCUCAACUUAGUGGCGGACGGGUGAGUAACGCGUGGGUAACCUGCCUUAUACAGGGGGAUAACACUUAGAAAUAGGUGCUAAAACCGCAUAAGCGCACGGCCUCGCAUGGGGCAGUGUGAAAAACUCCGGUGGUAUAAGAUGGACCCGCGUCUGAUUAGCUAGUUGGUGAGGUAACGGCCCACCAAGGCGACGAUCAGUAGCCGGCCUGAGAGGGUGAACGGCCACAUUGGGACUGAGACACGGCCCAAACUCCUACGGGAGGCAGCAGUGGGGAAUAUUGCGCAAUGGGGGAAACCCUGACGCAGCGACGCCGCGUGAGUGAAGAAGUAUUUCGGUAUGUAAAGCUCUAUCAGCAAGGAAGAUAAUGACGGUACUUGACUAAGAAGCCCCGGCUAACUACGUGCCAGCAGCCGCGGUAAUACGUAGGGGGCAAGCGUUAUCCGGAUUUACUGGGUGUAAAGGGAGCGUAGACGGUGAGGCAAGUCUGAUGUGAAAGCCCGGGGCUCAACCCCGGGACUGCAUUGGAAACUGUCAGACUAGAGUGCAGGAGAGGUAAGUGGAAUUCCUAGUGUAGCGGUGAAAUGCGUAGAUAUUAGGAGGAACACCAGUGGCGAAGGCGGCUUACUGGACUGUAACUGACGUUGAGGCUCGAAAGCGUGGGGAGCAAACAGGAUUAGAUACCCUGGUAGUCCACGCCGUAAACGAUGAUUACUAGGUGUUGGGGGUUUAUGAACCCUCGGUGCCGGCGCUAACGCAUUAAGUAAUCCACCUGGGGAGUACGUUCGCAAGAAUGAAACUCAAAGGAAUUGACGGGGGACCCGCACAAGCGGUGGAGCAUGUGGUUUAAUUCGAAGCAACGCGAAGAACCUUACCAAAUCUUGACAUCCCCCUGACAGAGUAUGUAAUGUACUUUUCUUCGGACAGGGGAGACAGGUGGUGCAUGGUUGUCGUCAGCUCGUGUCGUGAGAUGUUGGGUUAAGUCCCGCAACGAGCGCAACCCCUAUCUUUAGUAGCCAGCAUUUCGGAUGGGCACUCUAGAGAGACUGCCGGGGAUAACCCGGAGGAAGGUGGGGAUGACGUCAAAUCAUCAUGCCCCUUAUGAUUUGGGCUACACACGUGCUACAAUGGCGUAAACAAAGGGAAGCGAGCCCGUGAGGUGGAGCAAAUCCCAAAAAUAACGUCUCAGUUCGGAUUGUAGUCUGCAACUCGACUACAUGAAGCUGGAAUCGCUAGUAAUCGCAGAUCAGAAUGCUGCGGUGAAUACGUUCCCGGGUCUUGUACACACCGCCCGUCACACCAUGGGAGUCGGUAAUGCCCGAAGUCAGUGACCCAACCGUAAGGAGGGAGCUGCCGAAGG
RNAcentral lists this ribosomal RNA (1425 nucleotides) under uncultured bacterium. RNAcentral describes it as "bacterial SSU rRNA". It matches the Rfam family "Bacterial small subunit ribosomal RNA". The record is from RNAcentral.